AUGUAGCAUAGUGGUAGAGCACUUGCCUGGCAUGUAUGAGGCCCUGGGUUCAAAGCCCAGCAU
This 63-nucleotide transfer RNA is filed under the name Heterocephalus glaber (naked mole-rat). It matches the Rfam family "tRNA", at positions 5 to 66 of the family's 71-position model. Rfam says of the family: Transfer RNA (tRNA) molecules are approximately 80 nucleotides in length. The record is from Rfam by way of RNAcentral. Lineage: Eukaryota; Metazoa; Chordata; Mammalia; Rodentia; Bathyergidae.